Molecule: long non-coding RNA, 1037 nt
Filed under: Homo sapiens (human)
Lineage: Eukaryota; Metazoa; Chordata; Mammalia; Primates; Hominidae
Description: HSALNT0360732
Source: RNAcentral
CAUUCUGGAGGGCUGGAGCUUUGCGGGGCACCUUCACACUCGCCCAGCUGGUGCUUCCCUGGCUGGGGAGGGCGGGCAGGGCUCGGGGCUUGGCCGGCAGCCCCUGGGGAGGUGCAUACUCGCCUCCUGGCUCCUUCCUGGCAUGGUCCCGGCAGCGGGAGGCAGCUGCACCAGGCCGGAGGAGGGGCUCAGAAAGCAAACGCAAGCAACAGCAAUGAGAGGGACUUGCCGCGGGGUGGUGCUCUCGGACCUCAUUUGAAAGGAUUGGGAGCCGGCUCUUUCAGGCAACUUCCCUUUUCGUUGGACUUCUGUUAAAUUGUCUGCAAAACCCACAGGAGGACAUCUGAAAUGAGAUACAGCAUUGCUGAAAUUUAUCACAGCUUUCAUGUUCUGUUUCCCAAGACUACUCUCCCCUCCUCCUCGAGCUCCUCCUCGUUCUCCUCCACCUUUGUCAUCCGUCAUCACCUUUUAACUUUCAUUGUUUUAGAGAGGAGGAAACUGAGGCAUUUUCCUGACAGUCUUUGAAAGAAAGAGAAAAAUCAAACAAAGAGAAUGCCCGUUUCAUUCACCUCAUAAGAAACAGUUUGCCAGGAAGGACAUGUGAUUCCACGAGUUGGAGGCAUGGAUGCUCUGGGCCCCGGGCCGCACCCUGUGACUUGCGGGCAGUGUGCUUCAUGGGAAGGCGUGUGAGUAAGGGUGCUCUCUCGUUGGAAGCAUCCUUGUCUCAUCCCUAAUCCUGCCAUCUAGGCUGAUAAGAAGUUAAUGCCAGGAAAAGAAAAUGUGUGUCUUUCGCCAACUCCGUCUGCUGGGUGGAGCUCCCAUCUGUAAUCCAGCCCCAGGCCAGAUGGCUUCCCUCACCGCUGUAUAACAGAAGCACACAAUGUAUACACAAUGUAUACACAAUGUAUAAUCUGCAUAAAAACCAUGCAUCUUCCCGGAGCACCGAUCUUACUCCAUGACAACUCACGGAAGCAUUGUUUUCUAUAUUAAAAUGAAUAAGUAUGUUAUACAUAGUGAAAUAUUGGCAUUAAAAAAGA